AGUGAACGCUGGCGGUAGGCCUAACACAUGCAAGUCGAACGGCAGCACAGUAAGAGCUUGCUCUUACGGGUGGCGAGUGGCGGACGGGUGAGGAAUACAUCGGAAUCUACUUUUUCGUGGGGGAUAACGUAGGGAAACUUACGCUAAUACCGCAUACGACCUACGGGUGAAAGCAGGGGAUCUUCGGACCUUGCGCGAUUGAAUGAGCCGAUGUCGGAUUAGCUAGUUGGCGGGGUAAAGGCCCACCAAGGCGACGAUCCGUAGCUGGUCUGAGGGGAUGGUCGGCCACACUGGAACGUAGACACGGUCCAGGCGCCUACGGGAGGGAGCAGAGGGGAAUAUUGGGCAAUGGGCGCAAGCCUGGGCCAGCCAUACCGCGUGGGAGAAGAAGGCCUUCGGGUUGUAAAGCCCUUUUGUUGGGAAAGAAAAGCAUCAGGUUAAUACCCCGCUGUUCUGACGGUACCCAAAGAAUAAGCACCGGCUAACUUCGUG
RNAcentral lists this ribosomal RNA (492 nucleotides) under uncultured bacterium. Its description in RNAcentral is "partial 16S ribosomal RNA". It matches the Rfam family "Bacterial small subunit ribosomal RNA", at positions 29 to 507 of the family's 1533-position model. The record is from RNAcentral.